GAUGAACGCUAGCGGGAGGCUUAAUACAUGCAAGUCGAGGGGUAACAGGGGCUUCGGCCCGCUGACGACCGGUGCACGGGUGAGUAACGCGUACGCAACUUACCUCCAAGCGAGGGAUAGCCCUGGGAAACUGGGAUUAAUACCUCAUGUGAUUAUGAUGCCGCAUGGUGUUAUAAUUAAAGUUCAGGCGCUUGGAGAUGGGCGUGCGUCCUAUUAGCUAGUUGGUGAGGUAACGGCUCACCAAGGCGACGAUAGGUAGGGGGCGUGAGAGCGUGGCCCCCCACACGGGUACUGAGACACGGACCCGACUCCUACGGGAGGCAGCAGUAAGGAAUAUUGGACAAUGGGCGCAAGCCUGAUCCAGCCAUCCCGCGUGCAGGAUGACAGCCCUACGGGUUGUAAACUGCUUUUGUUAGGGAAGAAACCCCUCGAUUUAUCGGGGGCUGACGGUACCUUUCGAAUAAGCACCGGCUAACUCCGUGCCAGCAGCCGCGGUAAAGUCAC
Molecule: ribosomal RNA, 504 nt
Filed under: uncultured bacterium
Lineage: Bacteria
Description: bacterial SSU rRNA
Rfam family: Bacterial small subunit ribosomal RNA
Source: RNAcentral